RNAcentral lists this ribosomal RNA (253 nucleotides) under uncultured bacterium. RNAcentral describes it as "partial 16S ribosomal RNA". It matches the Rfam family "Bacterial small subunit ribosomal RNA", at positions 524 to 776 of the family's 1533-position model. The record is from RNAcentral.
GACGAACCGUCCAAACGUUAUUCGGAAUUACUGGGCUUAAAGGGUUCGUAGGCGGCCUUGUAAGUGAGAUGUGAAAUCCCACGGCUCAACCGUGGAAGUGCAUUUCAUACUGCAAGGCUUGAGGGAGACAGAGGUAAGCGGAACUGAUGGUGGAGCGGUGAAAUGCGUUGAUAUCAUCAGGAACACCGGUGGCGAAAGCGGCUUACUGGGUCUCUUCUGACGCUGAGGAACGAAAGCCAGGGGAGCGAACGGG